GAACAUCUGGCUGCUGCGCAGAAGUAAGACCCUAUACUCGUGAAUGGCAUCAGCGCUGCAGUUGACCAUUGCGAUCUCUUAAGGGCAAGGGAGGAAAUGAACGAGGAUGCAGAUGAAGAUAAGGCAUAAUCAGCUGAUACAUCUGGUACUCAAGAGGAAAGCUUUUCAGCCACAGCACCAGAUGUCGACCCACCCAGGACACAAGGUGACAUGUUUUUGAUGUAAAUGCUAUUUCCAUUAAAUAGGCACUAUGUAUGUAUGUAUGUAUGUAUGUAUACGUAUAUGUAUAAGACAAUUCUUUGUAGGUAUGUAUUGGUUUGACUCAUCAGGUUCAGUAGUUGUUACAUAGGCUAGCUACUGUAUGCUGCACAUAUUUGUCCCAACAUUUAAAAUAUGAUUAAUGUAGAACAUGGAGACACUUAAAAAUAUCAUUUUUUUCAUUUUCUAAGACUUCUAGCAAUUUUAUUGCUAUCAAAGCCUGUCACUUCAACUGACAUUUCUAUUUUUUUUUUAAUGGUAACAUAUAUAACAUAGGUUACUCUCGAAGAAAGAAAUCUGCGAGAUGCACUGUGAUCUCUCAGCAUCAGCAGUUCAUGAUACAGAUGAUGAGGCAAUAAAAUUAAUGGGUUCAAGACCAAAUCCAGCAAUCCGAGCAAAGGGAGGAGAGACUCCUUAGUGCUUUAAUUGAGAGCAAUGUCCGUUCCACCGAGCACAUUAUAUCAAUACUUGUUGAGGGAUUCCAAAGCACCCACAUCCAAUGUUUGCACCUCCUUCACUGCACCCCCCCACACUUUCAAGGGUAUCACACACAGCCAUCUAACUAUACCCUGCAUGGUUCUACUGUGUCAAACACAUCCACUGCUGAACAUGGGUCAGAAGAAGCAAAUGAAUAUGCUCGAUCAUAUACUCACCUGUGAGCAGCCUGCCAUUAGGUAGCAGAAAACCUGCUUAUGUAAAAUACUUUGUGAAUGCCUGUAUUGACUUGAGUUUAGAUGUGUUUGCCUACCUCAUAUUUGCCUGUGUUACAGGAAAGAAUGUGCCUUGUCUUUUGUUAUAUAAAUUUGUUAGUAAGUGAAACCUUUCAUUUUUUGAAAAAAAAUAACUAAAUAAAAAAAUUUAAAAAAUUCAUCCAUCCAGUUUCUGUCCAUCCUACAGGGUCAUGAGAUACCUGGAGCCAACCUAAGGGAGCAUGGGGCACAAGGCAGGGUACACCCUGGAUGGGGUUGAAAUGUUUUUUUUUAAUUAAACCUCUAUUUUUUGUAAAGUAAUAUUUACCAUAAGUGAGCAGAACUUGAAGAGGUCCCUUUCUUAUUAUCCUUUUUGUUGUGUCCUUUUUUGCACUUCAAACCUGUGUGCAGUGUUCCUGGAAUUAAGGCAUACAAAACCCAACAGAAACUUAAAGAAAUUGCCUAGUUCACAUUAAAAUAAAAAGUGCAGCACUUCUUCAUAAAAUAACUUCUUGAAUGCAGUUAACAUCACAGACUGGAGAUAAUAACGUUGAACAAAUACUAAGAAGUGUGACUUUCCAAGCUCCUCAAAGCAAGCAAAUAUGCUGAAUGUUAACCACUUGUGCCUAAUGUAUACUCCUCCAAAGGGGAAAUGUUGCUGCCAUGUAUGGUGAUAAUGCAUCUCUCAUGACAUAAGCAUCUGUGCUGGUUCUGUGGUGCACUGUGGGGCUGGGGUAAGGCUCUCUCCAUAACUGUUGCCUCCUCCAUCCAGCAUUGGGGGACCUUCUCCUUUUCUCGUUCACAAAAAUUGUGCAGUGCACAACAUGUAAUCAUGCAAGGUGAGAAAGUGAAGUGAAAAUAUCACUGCAUUUCAGGAGCACCCUCCACCUAGACUUCAGUCUCUCAAAAGCAAUCUCCACUGUUGUUCUUGUUGAGCUGAGGUGAACAUUGAACGACUCUUGUUCAGGUGUUAGGCCUAGAGACUGUGGGUAACACUUCAUCAGUCAGUCCAUGAGUGGAUAAGCUGGAUCUCCGAGGAGAAAGAAAUGCACAGGUUUCCCCUGAAUCACCCUCACUCCC
Ictalurus punctatus (channel catfish) is the source of this 2027-nucleotide long non-coding RNA. The record is from Ensembl. NCBI's taxonomy places the organism in Eukaryota, Metazoa, Chordata, Actinopteri, Siluriformes, Ictaluridae.